Molecule: ribosomal RNA, 400 nt
Filed under: uncultured bacterium
Lineage: Bacteria
Description: bacterial SSU rRNA
Rfam family: Bacterial small subunit ribosomal RNA
Source: RNAcentral
CUAAGAAUCUUCCGCAAUGGACGAAAGUCUGACGGAGCGACGUCGCGUGGGUGAUGAAGGCGGAAACGUUGUAAAGCCCUUUUAUAGAUGAGGAAUAAGUGUGGGAGGGAAUGCCCGCAUGAUGACGGUAAUCUGUGAAUAAGCCCCGGCUAAUUACGUGCCAGCAGCCGCGGUAACACGUAUGGGGCGAGCGUUGUUCGGAAUUAUUGGGCGUAAAGGGUAUGCAGGCGGUUUCGUAAGUCUGGUGUGUAAGACCACAGCUUAACUGGGGGAACGCAUUGGAAACUGCGAGGCUUGAGUACAGGAGGGGGAGCUGGAAUUCCAGGUGUAGGGGUGAAAUCUGUAGAUAUCUGGAAGAACAUCAGUGGCGAAGGCGAGCUCCUGGCCAUGUACUGACGCU